UUCCCARUCCCUGCCCCCUGUGCUGCUAAAUGCCCAUAUAACUCUGAUAUCUGUUUCUCAGGACUUGAAAAUUACCUUGAAAGAUGUUAUCUUGUGAGACCAUCUCUUUAUGAGAAAGGGAAGCUGUACCUUGGGAAUCAAAUAUCGACAAGUCUGCAAAAUCCAUCCUCGUCAGAAGUUAUGUUUUCUGCUGAGGGAGAGCCAUGCUUCUCAUCAUCAUGGAAAGCGAUAGAAGAUCAAAUCUGGCUGACGCCUUCUCUGUUGGUCAUCUGGCCCAUAAUUCAGAUGCAUAUUUUGACGUUGACCAGCACAGGCUACCAGGGAAGCUCAUAACUCCUGCAUCAAAGGAUCUGAAUUUAGCUCAUCAAAUUAAGCAGUGAARCCUCCUUCCCCAGUUAAUGGGGAGAGACAGGCUCCAGCUCUGAGUCAGCUACUGGAGGAGCAUGRCUGAAGUGAUCUGGAUUGCUCCUCUAAAGGAGACGAUCUCUCUCCAAUGAUUGAGAGGGAUGGCUGAAUGACUCCAUAUAUAUCUUCAGAGAAGUUACAACUUCCAUUAAAUACUGCUUCUUUAGCAAUGUUGAGUCAAGGUUUCAGUCAAGUCACUCUGGCUGCUAUUCACCAGGCCAGAGCUGCGACUUUGCUCCCAGUGUCAACUCUUGUUGAAUAAAGGGUCCCAAAAUAGCCUGUCUCCUGAAGAGAAGCUCUUUCAAAGGUGAAGUGCUUGAACAGGGGAGAACAGGAAGGGGUGGAGAGAAGAAUCUUUCCUUAUUUUUCAGUAGCUUUUUCUUCACACUUCUUUGGGAAAGCUACAGCUCAUGUGGAAAAUAGGCAUGAGGUGGGACUCGUAUGGCAAGAGUGCAAAUAAGGAUCAAGGAUGAGGUCUAAACAGAAGGACAGGAACUGUUCCUGAAGAAGGAGAUGUCAUAGCACAACCUGGAUGAGGAAGUGAAAAACCAAAAACAUUAUUUCUUUGCACACAGGAGAUCAAAUAACUUCCA
This is a long non-coding RNA of Nothoprocta perdicaria, 998 nucleotides long. RefSeq lists it as uncharacterized. NCBI's taxonomy places the organism in Eukaryota, Metazoa, Chordata, Aves, Tinamiformes, Tinamidae. The record is from RefSeq and is a predicted model, not a curated record. The transcript is spliced from 2 exons.